Molecule: ribosomal RNA, 497 nt
Filed under: uncultured bacterium
Lineage: Bacteria
Description: partial 16S ribosomal RNA
Rfam family: Bacterial small subunit ribosomal RNA
Source: RNAcentral
GAUGAACGCUGGCGGCGUGCCUAAUACAUGCAAGUCGAGCGAACAGACGAGGAGCUUGCUCCUCUGACGUUAGCGGCGGACGGGUGAGUAACACGUGGAUAACCUACCUAUAAGACUGGGAUAACUUCGGGAAACCGGAGCUAAUACCGGAUAAUAUAUUGAACCGCAUGGUUCAAUAGUGAAAGACGGUUUCGCUGUCACUCAUAGAUGGAUCCGCGCCGCAUUAGCUAGUUGGUAAGGUAACGGCUUACCAAGGCAACGAUGCGUAGCCGACCUGAGAGGGUGAUCGGCCACACUGGAACUGAGACACGGUCCAGACUCCUACGGGAGGCAGCAGUAGGGAAUCUUCCGCAAUGGGCGAAAGCUUGACGGAGCAACGCCGCGUGAGUGAUGAAGGUCUUCGGAUCGUAAAACUCUGUUAUUAGGGAAGAACAAAUGUGUAAGUAACUAUGCACGUCUUGACGGUACCUAAUCAGAAAGCCACGGCUAACUACGUG